This 512-nucleotide ribosomal RNA is filed under the name uncultured Acaulospora. RNAcentral's name for it is "SSU rRNA". It matches the Rfam family "Eukaryotic small subunit ribosomal RNA", at positions 569 to 1081 of the family's 1831-position model. Lineage: Eukaryota; Fungi; Glomeromycota; Glomeromycetes; Diversisporales; Acaulosporaceae. The record is from RNAcentral.
AGCAGCCGCGGUAAUUCCAGCUCCAAUAGCGUAUAUUAAAGUUGUUGCAGUUAAAAAGCCCGUAGUUGAAUUUCGGAAUUUGUCGGUUGGUCGGGCUUCACUGUCCGCACUGACCUGAUGGAUUCCUACCUUCUGAAUAACCAGCAUGCUAUUAAUUUAGUGCGUUGGGGAAGCAGAGCUAUUACCUUGAAAAAUUAGAGUGCUUAAAGCAGGCUUGUGCUUGAAUAGAUUAGCAUGGAAUAAUAAAAUAGGACGGCAUGGUUCUAUUUUGUUGGUUUCUAGGAUCACUGUAAUGAUUAACAGGGAUAGUUGGGGGCAUUAGUAUUCAAUUGUCAGAGGUGAAAUUCUUGGAUUUAUUGAAGACUAACUUCUGCGAAAGCAUUUGCCAAGGAUGUUUUCAUUAAUCAAGAACGAAAGUUAGGGGAUCGAAGACGAUCAGAUACCGUCGUAGUCUUAACCAUAAACUAUGCCGACUAGGGAUCGGACGAUGUUAAUUUUUAAUGUACUCGUUC